Molecule: long non-coding RNA, 2292 nt
Filed under: Ooceraea biroi (clonal raider ant)
Lineage: Eukaryota; Metazoa; Arthropoda; Insecta; Hymenoptera; Formicidae
Description: uncharacterized LOC105285527
Source: RNAcentral
UGUGCGACGCUCUAAAAUCUGCAAUCUUGGAGCGGACGCUCCAAACCGACAGGUCUAGCGCGCGCGCUUGAAGAGUUUUUUCUUUUUUGUAUCACACUCCAGGAAUGCGCACCAAGCGCGCGUUUCAGCGCGGCAUUCCAGAGCGACGCUCCAAAACCGACGUAUUGGAGCGGCUGUGAUAAAUACAAACGAACAGUUUUGGCGCGCAUGCCUAGAGUGUACGCUCCAAAACUGUGGGAAAAACUGUCCGCGUAAAUGCCGCUAUUUGCGUCAUUACCAAUUCAUUCUUCAGCGCGAAGACACGGUGAUAGAUACUCCGCUGUAUAAGAUUAAUAUAACGUCUUAUCGACUAAUUUUUACAACGCAUUGCGUAUGUGGUAAGACCAUUAUGGGGAAACGUGGUUGCAGCGGAAACGUAUCGGCCUCGAGCGCGUUGAUUUAACGGAAUUUUGCGGGGAUUUGAGUGCGAUGUUAAUCCCUAACGCAGAUAUUUCGAUGGUUUUCGUUAUUGAUUAUAUUCGUGCGAUGAUAUUAGUAUUAGUUUAGUGCAGUAUGGAGAUAUUUAACUGACAGGAGAGAAAGAGAGAUCGAGAGGGAAAGGGAGGAGGGAAAAUACGACAGCACUUGGAUUCUGUCCCUAAAAAGGGUGUGUAAAGUCGAUUUGAGUCUCAUUGUUGGCCCUUUCUCGUAAUGUUGUUUGAUUUCUACUGCAUGCUCGUUUUUACUUCGUCUCGGGAGCAGUUGUUGCGAGUGUCGACAGGUUACCGUUUUCUUAAUGCUUUUCCAAGAGAGCUCGUUUUGCUCGACUUUAUUUUAUUCUUUACUUUUGCCUUCGUCGAUAUCAAAUUAGAUGCAUCGGUUUUUAAUACGAGAAAAUCAAUAUACGUGCUUGUACGUAUAUCUACACACAGGUUGAACCAGUAACUAUUAUUAGCUGGAGUAGUUUUGAAAUAAUACAAGUUAAAAUUAGUGCAAAUAUAUUUCAGAUAAAAACUAUUACUGCUUCAUUCAGUUUGAUGCUUUUAAAUGUGUUAUUCGUCUUUUUAUUCCUUUCUCUCGCCUCUAUUUUCCUCUUCGCUUUAUUCAAUUCUGACCUUAUUUUCUCUAUCUUUGCUCCAUCUGUCGUAUCUUUUGAUUCCCUUUUACUUAUUCACUUUUACUCUCGAUAUUUUUAGCAUUUCCAAUUUAGCAUUAUAUCCUCAUUUUCUUUCUUUCUCAUCUCUUCUGCAUCUGAAUUUGCAAAACUAAUUGCCAAGGUAUUGCCACUAAUUACGAGAAAUUCUCUACACAAAUAGAAUAUUGCAAAUUGUUAAAUUAUAUUAUAUUAUUAAUACAUUACACGCUACGUUGCUCCGUGAUGUAAAUUCCGUUUUAAUAAACUUUCAAUACUAACAUUUAUAUAAUAUUGAUAAUAACAUCUGUUAUUAACGGUGUCUUUUAUUAUAACAAAUGUUUAUACUCUCGAUGAGAGAAGGUAGCCGCGUAUAUGUGGCUUUGAAGGACUCUCGGUGACUGGUGAGGGAGACACCGCGUCACGUACCAUUAUUGAUUCAUCCUUGAACGCGUAAAGACGUCGAAACUUUUAUGAUACAUUCCGUACAUAACCAUACACAAUUCGUUGCUUGUUACAAUACUUUGUAUAACAGUACGCACUGCAGCAUUAAAAUUGAAACAUAAAUCACUCCCGCGAAUUCCGCGAACUCGUAGCGGUAGCAGAACAUCGAUUUAAUCGGAUUUUACGAAAAUUCAGAUACGAUCGCGUGAAUUUAUUUCGUUUAAAUAAUUCUCUAUAUAAUUUUGACCGCGGAUAUUUGGAGAAUCUGUUGCCGUUGAGAUUAUAUUUGCAGAGUGUGUCUUGUUUAAAUCGCGGAUGCAAGAGAAUUACAGACGAAGAUACAGGAAUCAGAGACUCAAAUAUUGCGAGUAUAAUUAGAAGAAAAAAUGGCGAUAAAUUGACCGGCAAUCGGAUGAUACUGUGCACGUUGCGAAUAUCGUUUAAGGAGGUUCGGGUGCUUCAUCGGGGGGGAGUAGUAGGACUCUAUGCUGGAUUCUAUGCUGACUUGGCAACAGCGCAUUAGCGUUCACCGCAAAAUUCAAGCGUUAACCACAAAAAUGACAGAUAAACAAUAUAGAUGGAAAGGACAGUUUGUGAGUAAAAAAAAUAUGAGUGUAUGAAAAUUAGAACUGAAAAUGGUAAAAAGAGGAAAAAACUUGUUGAAGAAAAUAUUGAAGAACCUGUAUUUUUCAUAAAUAACUCGCGAAGGCUAUUAAAGCGAUGGCUAUUUAUCUUCA